UGGGGAAUAUUGCGCAAUGGGCGAAAGCCUGACGCAGCGACGCCGCGUGGGGGAUGAAGGCCUUCGGGUUGUAAACCCCUUUCAGCAGGGACGAAGCGAGAGUGACGGUACCUGCAGAAGAAGCGCCGGCUAACUACGUGCCAGCAGCCGCGGUAACACGUAGGGCGCAAGCGUUGUCCGGAAUUAUUGGGCGUAAAGAGCUCGUAGGUGGUUUGUUACGUCUGCUGUGAAAACCUAGGGCUUAACCCUGGGCUUGCAGUGGAUACGGGCAGACUAGAGGUAGGUAGGGGAGAAUGGAAUUCCUGGUGUAGCGGUGAAAUGCGCAGAUAUCAGGAGGAACACCGGUGGCGAAGGCGGUUCUCUGGGCCUUACCUGACACUGAGGAGCGAAAGCGUGGGGAGCGAACAGG
Molecule: ribosomal RNA, 409 nt
Filed under: Actinomycetes bacterium
Lineage: Bacteria; Bacillati; Actinomycetota; Actinomycetes
Also listed under: 2 other names
Description: Actinobacteria bacterium partial 16S ribosomal RNA
Rfam family: Bacterial small subunit ribosomal RNA
Source: RNAcentral